CUCACAGAAUUGCUCCGCUUCACUUUUACUAGAGAGAAAAACAAGGCUUCUUUUCACAAAAUAUACAGAAAUUUGUUUAUUCAUCACGGAAACAAAAACCAAAAAAAAUCGAGAGAAAAAAACCCUCAAAAGUCCUAUUUCCGUUCUCCUUCUCUCUUCUUCACUAUUAGUUUUCGGCUAGGGUUUCUUCUUGAUUUUCAUUGUACAGGGAAUAUCAGUUACGGUUCUUCUUUUCUUACGGCAUCAUAUUGUUGGUUAUAAUUGGAGGGAAGCAUAUUCUCCUGUGUUGAUUUUAGGUUCUUCUUUUUACGGUUUGAUAUUGUGAAUUAUAACAAUGUUUAUUCUUUCAUCUAUAUGAACUCAGUCAGAUCCCUAACCAGGUUUGAAGGUUCCAUUAAUAGCGGUGGUGAAGGUUGCAGGUAGGGUUUAAGGUUUAAAGCUUAGGACCAAUUUGGUUCAAUUUAAUGGCUGUGAAUCACCGAAAUUCCAUCUUUUUCGUUGAAAACUCAGUAUAACCUAAAAUCAUUAUUCAAGAAUUUGGAUCUGUAGGGUUUCACAAACUUUUCUUGAGGUAAUGAAGUAGAUUAUUCAAGAAUUUGGAUCUGUGUAUGCCUAUGAGUAGUCAGAGAGAAAGAGAGAAUGAUUUGAUUGGUAAGAUAAAUCAGUAGUUUCGUUUUAUUUUCAGUUUACUUUUGAGAAAAGUAAAUGAUUUUCCUGUUCUUCAUAUGCUAAUUUCUUAAUAGGGUUCUUAUGUUAUAACAGGUUUGAAGUUUGGGGUUUUGAUUUUUAUGAAAUUAUUGUGUUUUGGAUAAUUGAAGAACAUAUUUUAUUGAAGAAUUGAAACUUUAUUAGGUUUGUGAUAUUAUUGAAUUUCCUGUCAGAGUGUUAUUGUUAUAAUAUCAUAAGGUUUCCUACUUUUUGCAUUAAGUGAAACUAGAUAGUGUGAAAAAUGGCCAAGUGAAAGCUUCAGCAGAUUCAUAGUAUCUCAUUCAAUUGCUUUGUUAAUUGGUUAUUUUAUUUUUGUUAAAAGGUAAUUGUAGAUGUGUCUGAUAUAGUGAUAUGUCGUUGUGCUUUGAAUAUUUUUCAAGUAAGAAAAUGAUGGAAAUACAAGUUAGAUUAUGAUUAGUUCAAACAGUGGAUUUUCCAUGUGCAGGUUUGAAACUGUUUUUCUCUCCACCAGGUUGUAUAUUUUUUAAGUUCAGUUAUGCCGUUAUGUAUAUUUGAAUACUAAUUUUGGUAUAUUUACUUUUAAAAGUAGAUAGUUAAACAACUUACAAGAAGGUGUGUUGGUUAACACCAUUUUGCAUAAUCGUAUUACAUAUUAUCCAAAGGUCUGAGUUAUGUUUUUUAUUAAUUAUUUUGCUUUUGUUUUUGUUUCAUCAUUGAUUUCGAAAUACAAUUACCUUGGGUUUAGAUAGCAGGUUAAGGUAUACUCGGUGGAGGAAGCAAUCUUCUUAAUUUGGUUGUCGGUUCCAGUGUUAUUCAGUUAUAGUUCCCUAUUGUUUGGUUGCAGGUGCUAAUUUAUCCAAGUCAACAGUUAACUGAUCACAAAGAAAUGGAGAUGGUUAAGCAAUACUCUGUAUCCUUUUUAAAUAACAAAGGUUGAUCUUCUUCAGCCAAGAUUCAUCAUCUUCCAUCAUUCUAUUCUAUUCUUUUUAUGGUUUGAGAGAUAGAGAUAGUGGAUAUCUUGGUAAGCAUAAUCUUCUUAUACGCACACUGAAUGCUUACAGUGGCAUGGAAGGAAUUUGUUGGUUUCUACUGUUACUCUUUGCAAGGGUAUGAUCUUCUUAUAUGCACACUGAAUGCUUACAGUGGCAUGGAAGGAAUUUGUUGGUUUAUAAGCUAUUACUCUUUGCUGGGGUAUGAUCUUAUAUGCACACUGAAUGCUUAUAGUGUCAUGGAAGGAAUUUGUUGGUUUCUAAGUUAUUACUCUUUGAAGGGGUUGUGGUUUUGCUCACAUUGGGUAUUCGAAGUAGCUACUUUCGCUGAUUGGCUUCUGAGCUAUUAUUCAUAAUACUAUGAGUAAGGAGUAUUGAUAAUGGCUUAGGGUUUCUGCAAUUACAUCGGAUCAAGUUUGGUGGUCCGCUUUUCAAACACCAUUUAAUUGUAUUACUACCAGCAGGCCUUUUCACUCCUUGAAUACAAUAUUUCUAUCCUAUCGAGUUGGUUUUUAGUUCCAUUGCAGGUGAAUGAACUAAAAUUAAUGGAAUCAGCUGACGCACAUUAGCAUUUAGCAGGAUCAGAGAACUUCAGGUAGUCCAUUUUUGGUUCAUAUAUUGCUUACACUUAGAACUACAUAUGAUAUUGAUGUUAUCAUUGUUAAUCUUUCAUACAUCAUCUCAUUGUUACUCAACAAUGUUUUUAAUGUUUGUGGUGAUGACCCAACUCGAUAUCGUCCUUUCAGAUGAGUUAACUUCUAGAGAUAAUUUUAAUUAUCAUAUUUUGAUUGAGUACUCAUUUACAAUGUUCAAGAGUACUCAUUUUAAUUAUUUGACCAUAUUUCAGUCGAUAAGUUGAAAUGUGGACGUUCUCAUACAGUGCUUGGCCUUUUCUUCUUCGUAAAAUCGGAAAGAUUUCACACACUACCUUUUAAUUAUAUAUUUGUUCUUAUCGUGUUAAUGCUUAACUUGGAGGGAGAAAGGCCAUUUUUUUUUCUGCUGAUAUCAGGGUGUGGGUUCACUAAAUGGUGCUCAUAACUCACAAUCCAAGAACCAGAGCCGUUAUUUUUAUGGAAUAACCGACAUGGCAUCCUAGACAUGAUGUGUUUGCUAAGAUCUGUCUUUGGUAAACUCAUAUGUGGAAAUUGUCUUUGUGCAAGCACCUGUUGCGUAAGGAGUGGAAAGCUUUGUUGUUGAUUUUAUUAUGGAAAGCUUAGGGAAAACUUUAUACACGCACUAAGCUGAUCACUUUUUGAACAGUCAAAGAAGAUGAGGACAUAAUUGAAAUGAAGCAGUCAAUGGGGUAUGAGAGAUCAAAGAGUAUAUCUGUUUGUAAAAUACUAUGUAUAAUUUACCCUUAUGUGUUCAGAAUAUUAAUGUAAAAGCAGGUCAUAAUUCAUAUUUUUAUUUAUUUUUGUA
Papaver somniferum (opium poppy) is the source of this 3077-nucleotide long non-coding RNA. RefSeq lists it as uncharacterized. The transcript is spliced from 2 exons. The record is from RefSeq and is a predicted model, not a curated record. NCBI's taxonomy places the organism in Eukaryota, Viridiplantae, Streptophyta, Magnoliopsida, Ranunculales, Papaveraceae.